UACGAAGGACCCAAGCGUUAUCCGGAUUUAUUGGGUUUAAAGGGUGCGUAGGCGGAUUAUUAAGUCAGUGGUGAAAGCUCUCGGCUCAACCGGGAAAUUGCCAUUGAUACUGAUAGUCUUGAGUAUGAUUGAGGUGGGCGGAAUGUGUCAUGUAGCGGUGAAAUGCUUAGAUAUGACACAGAACACCGAUUGCGAAGGCAGCUCACUAAGUCAUAACUGACGCUGAUGCACGAAAGCGUGGGGAGCAAACAGG
RNAcentral lists this ribosomal RNA (253 nucleotides) under uncultured bacterium. RNAcentral's name for it is "partial 16S ribosomal RNA". It matches the Rfam family "Bacterial small subunit ribosomal RNA", at positions 524 to 776 of the family's 1533-position model. The record is from RNAcentral.